AACGAACGCUGGCGGCAGGCUUAACACAUGCAAGUCGCGGGAGAAGGUUUCUUCGGAAGCUGGACACCGGCGCACGGGUGAGUAACGCGUGGGAACGUACCUUUCGGUGGGGGACAACAGUUGGAAACGACUGCUAAUACCGCAUACGCCCUUAGGGGGAAAGAUUUAUCGCCGAAAGAUCGGCCCGCGUUAGAUUAGCUUGUUGGUGAGGUAAGAGCUCACCAAGGCAACGAUCUAUAGCUGGUCUGAGAGGAUGAUCAGCCACACUGGAACUGAGACACGGUCCAG
This 288-nucleotide ribosomal RNA is filed under the name uncultured bacterium. RNAcentral's name for it is "partial 16S ribosomal RNA". It matches the Rfam family "Bacterial small subunit ribosomal RNA", at positions 29 to 334 of the family's 1533-position model. The record is from RNAcentral.